ACAGUGGUGGUUCAGUGGUGGAAUUCUCAUCUUCCAUGAAAGAGCCUCAGGUUCAAUUCCUGACCAAUGCA
RNAcentral lists this transfer RNA (71 nucleotides) under Loxodonta africana (African savanna elephant). It matches the Rfam family "tRNA". Rfam says of the family: Transfer RNA (tRNA) molecules are approximately 80 nucleotides in length. Their secondary structure includes four short double-helical elements and three loops (D, anti-codon, and T loops). The record is from Rfam by way of RNAcentral. Lineage: Eukaryota; Metazoa; Chordata; Mammalia; Proboscidea; Elephantidae.